UACGUAGGGUGCGAGCGUUGUCCGGAAUUACUGGGCGUAAAGAGCUCGUAGGUGGUUUGUCGCGUUGUUCGUGAAAACUCACAGCUUAACUGUGGGCGUGCGGGCGAUACGGGCAGACUGGAGUACUGCAGGGGAGACUGGAAUUCCUGGUGUAGCGGUGGAAUGCGCAGAUAUCAGGAGGAACACCGGUGGCGAAGGCGGGUCUCUGGGCAGUAACUGACGCUGAGGAGCGAAAGCGUGGGGAGCGAACAAG
Molecule: ribosomal RNA, 253 nt
Filed under: uncultured bacterium
Lineage: Bacteria
Description: partial 16S ribosomal RNA
Rfam family: Bacterial small subunit ribosomal RNA
Source: RNAcentral